AUUGAACGCUGGCGGCAGGCCUAACACAUGCAAGUCGAGCGGAUGACGGGAGCUUGCUCCUUGAUUCAGCGGCGGACGGGUGAGUAAUGCCUAGGAAUCUGCCUGGUAGUGGGGGACGACGUUUCGAAAGGAACGCUAAUACCGCAUACGUCCUACGGGAGAAAGCAGGGGACCUUCGGGCCUUGCGCUAUCAGAUGAGCCUAGGUCGGAUUAGCUAGUUGGUGGGGUAAUGGCUCACCAAGGCGACGAUCCGUAACUGGUCUGAGAGGAUGAUCAGUCACACUGGAACUGAGACACGGUCCAGACUCCUACGGGAGGCAGCAGUGGGGAAUAUUGGACAAUGGGCGAAAGCCUGAUCCAGCCAUGCCGCGUGUGUGAAGAAGGUCUUCGGAUUGUAAAGCACUUUAAGUUGGGAGGAAGGGCAGUAAGUUAAUACCUCGCUGUUUUGACGUUACCGACAGAAUAAGCACCGGCUAACUCUGUGCCAGCCGCCGCCGUAA
RNAcentral lists this ribosomal RNA (500 nucleotides) under uncultured bacterium. Its description in RNAcentral is "partial 16S ribosomal RNA". It matches the Rfam family "Bacterial small subunit ribosomal RNA", at positions 30 to 523 of the family's 1533-position model. The record is from RNAcentral.